UGUGCUUUGUAAUGGUGGAGUUGCAUGUGGAGCUCUGGAAUAUUACUUAGGGGAGAUGUGGAAAUGAGAACACAUUUUGGACCAAUGCUUUCUUAUCUUGUUUGCUCUCUCCCAGUCCCUUUUCUGUAAAAGGAGCCUGUAGCUUUAAGCAACAAAACCAGCAAAAAAAGAAAGAGGAGGAGAAAGUUGUGGGGGCAAGGAUGACAGAGAGGAAUGGACUGGGUUCUACUGUCUCCAGGUUGGCUUCCUGGCAGGCAUUUGUGUAAAGGCUAUAAAAGUUCGAACGUGGUUCUCCUCGGUGACACUGGGGAAAUAGAGAAAUUCUGCCUCUUACACAAACUCUCCCCCUGAAGCUAAAUUCAUGCAGAAAAAAAUGAUGCAUCAGGGGUUUGGGGACAACUGGAAUGUACCACAAAGGAUUCUGGGAAGUUCUUAUAGUCCCUAAGCAUUUGGUAGAUCGUGUAAAUAGAGGCAGUUUGAGCAUUUCUACUUCAUUCAAAGCUUUCCCCACCCCAGGUCCUCAAGAAAAAAGAAAAGAAAAAAUGGAAUGAAGUUUCUUGUUGGGCAGGAUAACUCUUUUGAUUGAUUUAGUACUUCUUCUCCAAAACUCUUAUACUACCCUUAAUUCUUUAUCCGCUUCUUGCAGCUAGCUCCCUGGUGCACAGAAGUGGAGAUGGGGGUGGGUGGGAAGAGUGCUGAUUGUUCCUGUUUAACCAGUGUUCUGUGUAGGGGAAAACAGGAGAAGGAAGGAGUUCUAUAUUCUGGUCUUUCCUCUGCUCCCCAUUACCCUAUGUUUCUGCCCAAGACAUAAACGUCUUUGAGCCUCCGUUAUCCCUUCUGUAAAACACUUUGGGAAUCCGAAGCCCAUGGAAGCUAAUAAUAAUGACAGCAACCAUCGGUAUAGCUGCCAGGCAUCUUGCCAAGGAUUUGAAGCACAUCGUUUUAUUUACUCCGUAUUGCAGCCCAACAAUCCAUUUUACAAAGGAGAAAACUGGAGCACAGAGAAGAUAAGUGACUGCCGACAGUCAUAUAACUAAUACUAAUACAGCUGAAGGGAGAACAGAAGGUAACUGACUGCAAUACAUGAGGACUGGCCGAAUGAGAAAGAAAUUAAUCACCUUAGUUUGUAGACAUCAGAGAAGAUUUGAUCCAAAGAAGCCAAAUUUAAACCAGACUGUCCUCCUCGUCCUCUAAACUCCAAACCACUUGGCUUUUCCCCAUCACGCUAUUGUUUGUGACCCUAGGAUAUCCUUUUCUACUUGUAGCAGUGGGUUUAUCAUUAAGUAAUGUAACAGCCCGGAUGUGGUUCAGUUAUUCAACCGUCUGUGCUGUGUUUUCACUAAACCAUGGCCUAGUAAAUUUGCAAUUACAAUAUCUCUGGGUUGUUGUUUUUUAAUAAAUUCCUUUUAAUUGCA
Molecule: long non-coding RNA, 1415 nt
Organism: Myotis davidii
Lineage: Eukaryota; Metazoa; Chordata; Mammalia; Chiroptera; Vespertilionidae
Exons: 2
Source: RefSeq, a predicted model, not a curated record